Molecule: ribosomal RNA, 680 nt
Filed under: Lactiplantibacillus plantarum
Lineage: Bacteria; Bacillati; Bacillota; Bacilli; Lactobacillales; Lactobacillaceae
Description: bacterial SSU rRNA
Rfam family: Bacterial small subunit ribosomal RNA
Source: RNAcentral
CAGGAACGAACGCGGCGGCGUGCCUAAUACAUGCAAGUCGAACGAACUCUGGUAUUGAUUGGUGCUUGCAUCAUGAUUUACAUUUGAGUGAGUGGCGAACUGGUGAGUAACACGUGGGAAACCUGCCCAGAAGCGGGGGAUAACACCUGGAAACAGAUGCUAAUACCGCAUAACAACUUGGACCGCAUGGUCCGAGUUUGAAAGAUGGCUUCGGCUAUCACUUUUGGAUGGUCCCGCGGCGUAUUAGCUAGAUGGUGGGGUAACGGCUCACCAUGGCAAUGAUACGUAGCCGACCUGAGAGGGUAAUCGGCCACAUUGGGACUGAGACACGGCCCAAACUCCUACGGGAGGCAGCAGUAGGGAAUCUUCCACAAUGGACGAAAGUCUGAUGGAGCAACGCCGCGUGAGUGAAGAAGGGUUUCGGCUCGUAAAACUCUGUUGUUAAAGAAGAACAUAUCUGAGAGUAACUGUUCAGGUAUUGACGGUAUUUAACCAGAAAGCCACGGCUAACUACGUGCCAGCAGCCGCGGUAAUACGUAGGUGGCAAGCGUUGUCCGGAUUUAUUGGGCGUAAAGCGAGCGCAGGCGGUUUUUUAAGUCUGAUGUGAAAGCCUUCGGCUCAACCGAAGAAGUGCAUCGGAAACUGGGAAACUUGAGUGCAGAAGAGGACAGUGGAACUCC